RNAcentral lists this ribosomal RNA (325 nucleotides) under Physarum pseudonotabile. Its description in RNAcentral is "bacterial SSU rRNA". It matches the Rfam family "Eukaryotic small subunit ribosomal RNA", at positions 80 to 350 of the family's 1831-position model. Lineage: Eukaryota; Evosea; Eumycetozoa; Physariida; Physaraceae. The record is from RNAcentral.
UCUGAAUCUGCGAACGGCUCCGCAAACCAGUUGUAAACCAUAGCAAGCAUGCCCUGGGUCUGCCGCAAGGUGGGUCCGGGGCUACAGGGAUAACCCUGGUAAUUCUGAGGCUAAUACAUGAACGUAACCCCUGGUCGAAGGGCAACCGGAGGCCGGGGACCGUGCGAGUGGGCGCAAGGAUUAUUGGGAAUAGUCGCACAGUAGGACCAUCAUAUCAAACGGUAUCUGCCCAUACUUCCUCACGGGAGUCGGUGGUGUCCGGGUGGCUCUUGCAAGGUGCUUCUGACCUAUCAACUAGAUGGCAGCGUAACGGACAUGCUAUGGU